Long non-coding RNA from Manis pentadactyla (Chinese pangolin), 418 nucleotides. RefSeq lists it as uncharacterized. The record is from RefSeq and is a predicted model, not a curated record. The transcript has 3 exons. NCBI's taxonomy places the organism in Eukaryota, Metazoa, Chordata, Mammalia, Pholidota, Manidae.
UCGCUGGGGCACAGAGAGAGUGAGAGGAAAUGGUCACGGGCCAGGAUAAUGGCAGGAAUACCCAAAUGGCUGGAUACGUUGGAAUUUUGUGAACUGUGGCUCACACUGAAGACAUGGCUACAUCUCUCCAUGGUGAAUGGCUUGGGUGUUAUUGGCUAAUGGUCUGAGAAAGCCACAAUUCGAAAGUUGACUGAAAAAGAGAAAUUUUCUUCGUGAGGCAUUUUGAGUAACAUGCUAAGGAGGAAAUCUCAUUUCUGGAGGUAGUCCACCAUGGAGUUUCAUACCUGAUUGUCCUGAGAGGAAUACAUCAAAAGAUGAAGAUCUUGGGAGCUAAGAACAAAAAGGAUCAUGAGAGGCUUCAUGAACUCCCUCUGGAAGCCUUUGCAUUUACCUCUUACCUGUUCUUCUUCAACAUCAC